RNAcentral lists this unclassified non-coding RNA (236 nucleotides) under Melitaea cinxia (Glanville fritillary). Its description in RNAcentral is "misc RNA ENSMCXG00005016448.1". The record is from RNAcentral. Lineage: Eukaryota; Metazoa; Arthropoda; Insecta; Lepidoptera; Nymphalidae.
UAUACACUUUGGAUUUUGGUGACAAUACAAUUAUGUUUAUUCGUUAUCAUUAUAAAUUCAAGAUGGCCGCCGCUACAAAAUGGCGGAUAAUUUAUGUUUUAUUAAUCCCAUCAAUAUGGGUAUCAAAUGAAAGGGCUCAACAAGCAGAAUACAAUAUACUAUAAAAAAUUGAAGUCCAAGAUGGCGGCCGCUACAAAAUGGCGGAUAACGUAGGUUUUAUCGAUCCCAUCAAUAUG